This 518-nucleotide ribosomal RNA is filed under the name Limnebius gerhardti. Its description in RNAcentral is "partial 16S ribosomal RNA". The stretch from base 375 to 518 matches the Rfam family "Bacterial large subunit ribosomal RNA", at positions 2473 to 2617 of the family's 2925-position model. The record is from RNAcentral. Lineage: Eukaryota; Metazoa; Arthropoda; Insecta; Coleoptera; Hydraenidae.
GUCUUUUAGAUUAUAAUUUAAAGUCUGGCCUGCCCUAUGAAAAAUUAAAUGGCCGCAGUAUUUUGACUGUGCAAAGGUAGCAUAAUAAUUAGUUUUUUAAUUGAAAGCUGGAAUGAAAGGUUGAACGAAAAAAUAUCUGUCUCAAUUUAAUUUAAUUAGAAUUUUAUUUUUUAGUAAAAAAGCUAAAAUAAUUUUUAAAGACGAGAAGACCCUAUAGAGUUUUAUAUUUUAAUAUUAUAUAUUUUAUAGAAUUAUUUUAUGAUUUUAAAUAUUUUAUUGGGGUGAUAAAUAAAUUUAAAUAACUUUAUUAAUUUCUUACAUUAAUAUAUGAUUAAUUGAUCCAUAAAAAUGAUUAAAGAUUAAAUUACCUUAGGGAUAACAGCGUUAUUUUUUUUUAGAGUUCUUAUCGAAAAAAAAGAUUGCGACCUCGAUGUUGGAUUAAAAUUUAUUUAUGGUGUAGAAGCUAUAAUAUUAGGUCUGUUCGACCUUUAAAAUUUUACAUGAUCUGAGUUCAGACC